AAUCCAUAGGUUAAUGAGGCGAACCGGGGGAACUGAAACAUCUAAGUACCCCGAGGAAAAGAAAUCAACCGAGAUUCCCCCAGUAGCGGCGAGCGAACGGGGAGGAGCCCAGAGCCUGAAUCAGCAUGUGUGUUAGUGGAAGCGUCUGGAAAGGCGCGCGAUACAGGGUGACAGCCCCGUACACAAAAGCGCAUGUGCUGUGAGCUCGAUGAGUAGGGCGGGACACGUGGUAUCCUGUCUGAAUAUGGGGGGACCAUCCUCCAAGGCUAAAUACUCCUGACUGACCGAUAGUGAACCAGUACCGUGAGGGAAAGGCGAAAAGAACCCCGGCGAGGGGAGUGAAAAAGAACCUGAAACCGUGUACGUACAAGCAGUGGGAGCCCCACCACCAAAGCAUUCUCUGGUGUUGAAGGCCCUGCAAAGCAGCAUCGCGGUGGCGGAGCGUCGUUUGCGACGCCCAACACACAAAACAAGCGGUGAGUGCUUUGGGGUGGGGUGACUGCGUACCUUUUGUAUAAUGGGUCAGCGACUUAUAUUCUGUAGCAAGGUUAACCGAAUAGGGGAGCCGUAGGGAAACCGAGUCUUAACCGGGCGUUAAGUUGCAGGGUAUAGACCCGAAACCCGGUGAUCUAGCCAUGGGCAGGUUGAAGGUUGGGUAACACUAACUGGAGGACCGAACCGACUAAUGUUGAAAAAUUAGCGGAUGACCUGUGGCUGGGGGUGAAAGGCCAAUCAAACCGGGAGAUAGCUGGUUCUCCCCGAAAGCUAUUUAGGUAGCGCCUCGUGAAUUCAUCUCCGGGGGUAGAGCACUGUUUCGGCUAGGGGGCCAUCCCGGCUUACCAACCCGAUGCAAACUGCGAAUACCGGAGAAUGUUAUCACGGGAGACACACGGCGGGUGCUAACGUCCGUCGUGAAGAGGGAAACAACCCAGACCGCCAGCUAAGGUCCCAAAGUCAUGGUUAAGUGGGAAACGAUGUGGGAAGGCCCAGACAGCCAGGAUGUUGGCUUAGAAGCAGCCAUCAUUUAAAGAAAGCGUAAUAGCUCACUGGUCGAGUCGGCCUGCGCGGAAGAUGUAACGGGGCUAAACCAU
This 1091-nucleotide ribosomal RNA is filed under the name Salmonella enterica subsp. enterica serovar Coeln. Its description in RNAcentral is "partial 23S ribosomal RNA". It matches the Rfam family "Bacterial large subunit ribosomal RNA", at positions 161 to 1190 of the family's 2925-position model. Lineage: Bacteria; Pseudomonadati; Pseudomonadota; Gammaproteobacteria; Enterobacterales; Enterobacteriaceae. The record is from RNAcentral.